GACGAACGCUGGCGGCGCGCCUAACACAUGCAAGUCGAACGAGAGAUGAGGAGCUUGCUCUUCAAAUCGAGUGGCGAACGGGUGAGUAACGCGUGAGGAACCUGCCUCAAAGAGGGGGACAACAGUUGGAAACGACUGCUAAUACCGCAUAAGCCCACAGCUCGGCAUCGAGCAGAGGGAAAAGGAGCAAUCCGCUUUGAGAUGGCCUCGCGUCCGAUUAGCUGGUUGGUGAGGUAACGGCCCACCAAGGCGACGAUCGGUAGCCGGACUGAGAGGUUGAACGGCCACAUUGGGACUGAGACACGGCCCAGACUCCUACGGGAGGCAGCAGUGGGGAAUAUUGCACAAUGGGGGAAACCCUGAUGCAGCGACGCCGCGUGGAGGAAGAAGGUCUUCGGAUUGUAAACUCCUGU
This 413-nucleotide ribosomal RNA is filed under the name uncultured bacterium. RNAcentral describes it as "bacterial SSU rRNA". It matches the Rfam family "Bacterial small subunit ribosomal RNA", at positions 28 to 436 of the family's 1533-position model. The record is from RNAcentral.